UACGUAGGGUGCGAGCGUUAAUCGGAAUUACUGGGCGUAAAGCGUGCGCAGGUGGUUCUGUAAGUCAGAUGUGAAAUCCCCGGGCUCAACCUGGGAACUGCAUUUGAGACUGCAAGGCUAGAGUGUGGCAGAGGGGGGUAGAAUUCCACGUGUAGCAGUGAAAUGCGUAGAGAUGUGGAGGAAUACCGAUGGCGAAGGCAGCCCCCUGGGCCACUACUGACACUCAUGCACGAAAGCGUGGGGAGCAAACAGG
This 253-nucleotide ribosomal RNA is filed under the name uncultured bacterium. RNAcentral's name for it is "partial 16S ribosomal RNA". It matches the Rfam family "Bacterial small subunit ribosomal RNA", at positions 524 to 776 of the family's 1533-position model. The record is from RNAcentral.